GACGAACGCUGGCGGCGUGCUUAACACAUGCAAGUCGAACGGGAGUACUUUGAAAGCUUGCUGAUAAGUACUUUAGUGGCGGACGGGUGAGUAACGCGUGAGGAGCUGUCUUAUGCAGGGGGACAACAGUUGGAAACGGCUGCUAAUACCCCAUAAGCCGAGAGGUAAACGGAGCAAUCCGGCAGAGGAGGUACUAGCGUCCUAUCAGCUAGUAGGUUGGGUAACGGCCGACCUAGGCGAAGACGGGUAGCCGGCCUGAGAGGGCGAACGGCCACACUUGAACUGAGAUACUGCCGUGACUCCGACGGGAGGCAGCAGUGGGGAAUAUUGGGCAAUUGGGGGAACCAUGACCCAGCGACGCCGCGUGGGUGAAGAAAUCCUUCGGGAUGUAAAGACCUGUUGUAUGGGAAGAGCAGAAGACGGUACCAUACGAGGAAGCCCAGACAAACUACGUGCCAGCAGCAGCCGCAG
This 471-nucleotide ribosomal RNA is filed under the name uncultured bacterium. RNAcentral describes it as "partial 16S ribosomal RNA". It matches the Rfam family "Bacterial small subunit ribosomal RNA", at positions 28 to 523 of the family's 1533-position model. The record is from RNAcentral.